Molecule: ribosomal RNA, 897 nt
Filed under: uncultured soil bacterium
Lineage: Bacteria
Description: bacterial SSU rRNA
Rfam family: Bacterial small subunit ribosomal RNA
Source: RNAcentral
GCAGUCGACGGCAGCACGGGAGCAAUCCUGGUGGCGAGUGGCGAACGGGUGAGUAAUACAUCGGAACGUGCCCAAUCGUGGGGGAUAACGCAGCGAAAGCUGUGCUAAUACCGCAUAAGAUCUACGGAUGAAAGCAGGGGAUCGCAAGACCUUGCGCGAAUGGAGCGGCCGAUGGCAGAUUAGGUAGUUGGUGAGGUAAAGGCUCACCAAGCCUUCGAUCUGUAGCUGGUCUGAGAGGACGACCAGCCACACUGGGACUGAGACACGGCCCAGACUCCUACGGGAGGCAGCAGUGGGGAAUUUUGGACAAUGGGCGAAAGCCUGAUCCAGCCAUGCCGCGUGCAGGAUGAAGGCCUUCGGGUUGUAAACUGCUUUUGUACGGAACGAAAAGUCUCUUUCUAAUAAAGAGGGAUCAUGACGGUACCGUAAGAAUAAGCACCGGCUAACUACGUGCCAGCAGCCGCGGUAAUACGUAGGGUGCAAGCGUUAAUCGGAAUUACUGGGCGUAAAGCGUGCGCAGGCGGUUAUAUAAGACAGUUGUGAAAUCCCCGGGCUCAACCUGGGAACUGCAUCUGUGACUGUAUAGCUAGAGUACGGUAGAGGGGGAUGGAAUUCCGCGUGUAGCAGUGAAAUGCGUAGAUAUGCGGAGGAACACCGAUGGCGAAGGCAAUCCCCUGGACCUGUACUGACGCUCAUGCACGAAAGCGUGGGGAGCAAACAGGAUUAGAUACCCUGGUAGUCCACGCCCUAAACGAUGUCAACUGGUUGUUGGGUCUUCACUGACUCAGUAACGAAGCUAACGCGUGAAAGUUGACCGCCUGGGGAGUACGGCCGCAAGGUUGAAACUCAAAAGGAAUUGACGGGGAACCCGCACAAGCGGUGGAUGAUGUGGUUUAA